UACGUAGGGUGCAAGCGUUGUCCGGAAUUAUUGGGCGUAAAGAGCUCGUAGGCGGUCUGUCACGUCGGCUGUGAAAACCCGGGGCUCAACUCCGGAUCUGCAUUCGAUACGGGCAGACUAGAGUUCGGUAGGGGAGUCUGGAAUUCCUGGUGUAGCGGUGAAAUGCGCAGAUAUCAGGAGGAACACCGGUGGCGAAGGCGGGACUCUGGGCCGAUACUGACGCUGAGGAGCGAAAGCGUGGGGAGCGAACAGG
This 253-nucleotide ribosomal RNA is filed under the name uncultured bacterium. RNAcentral describes it as "partial 16S ribosomal RNA". It matches the Rfam family "Bacterial small subunit ribosomal RNA", at positions 524 to 776 of the family's 1533-position model. The record is from RNAcentral.